CUACUACUCUCUCUGUCCGGAAUUACUUGUUGCACAAAUUUAUAAAGAUCGAUGGAUGUAUCUAGAACUAAAAUACAUCUAGAUGCAUCCAUUUCCGUGACAAGUAUUUUCGGACGGAGGGAGUACAUC
Hordeum vulgare subsp. vulgare (domesticated barley) is the source of this 129-nucleotide non-coding RNA. NCBI's taxonomy places the organism in Eukaryota, Viridiplantae, Streptophyta, Magnoliopsida, Poales, Poaceae. The record is from Rfam.